RNAcentral lists this ribosomal RNA (373 nucleotides) under uncultured organism. RNAcentral describes it as "partial 16S ribosomal RNA". It matches the Rfam family "Bacterial small subunit ribosomal RNA", at positions 527 to 896 of the family's 1533-position model. The record is from RNAcentral.
GUAGGUGGCAAGCGUUGUCCGGAAUUAUUGGGCGUAAAGCGCGCGCAGGCGGUCCUUUAAGUCUGAUGUGAAAGCCCACGGGCUCAACCGUGGAGGGUCAUUGGAAACUGGGGGACUUGAGUACAGAAGAGGAAAGCGGAAUUCCACGUGUAGCGGUGAAAUGCGUAGAGAUGUGGAGGAACACCAGUGGCGAAGGCGGCUUUCUGGUCUGUAACUGACGCUGAGGCGCGAAAGCGUGGGGAGCAAACAGGAUUAGAUACCCUGGUAGUCCACGCCGUAAACGAUGAGUGCUAAGUGUUAGGGGGUUUCCGCCCCUUAGUGCUGCAGCUAACGCAUUAAGCACUCCGCCUGGGGAGUACGGCCGCAAAGGCUG